RNAcentral lists this transfer RNA (72 nucleotides) under Paramoeba pemaquidensis. RNAcentral describes it as "tRNA-Phe". It matches the Rfam family "tRNA". Rfam says of the family: Transfer RNA (tRNA) molecules are approximately 80 nucleotides in length. Their secondary structure includes four short double-helical elements and three loops (D, anti-codon, and T loops). The record is from RNAcentral. Lineage: Eukaryota; Discosea; Flabellinia; Dactylopodida; Paramoebidae.
GGGGGUGUAGCUUAGUGGUAGAGCGAAAGCCUGAAAAGCUUUAGGUCGUUGGUUCGAGUCCAAUCACCCCCA